AUUAUUAUAAAGUUUUACAACAUUUGCUUUGUUUACAAAAGUUAUAUUAUGCAUAGAUUGCUGAUUUGUCCUAGAUGCAUCGUCACCGGCGCUGUGACAUCAUGUGCAAUGGGUCUAUAGAGAUAGCUGAGAUGAAACGCCGUAAAUAAUAUUUAGUGACGUUGAGACCAUAGAUAUAGGAGAUCUAGAUUGUUAACGCAUACCUAGCGCAGGCGGGGCCUACAUGAUAAAUCCAAGAUGGCGGUACAACAGGGCAAAAAGACUAUAAAUUCUAUUACGAAAAUCAGGAUUUUUGCAUUUUUUGCCGUUGCAUUGUUUUGAAACUUAUUCGGUCAAAUUUUAUGGUAAAGAGAAACUUACCGCGAAGAUUUUGAGCAUAUAUAUGAUUGAAUUGGAUGAAAACUCGCAAAAUUAUCCAUCGAUAAAAGUUCGUGUAUAGUACUGAUAUAGUACUAUAUAUGUAACUUGUACAGUUUUGCUUUAAUUUUUGCUCACUAUUUGCAUAAAAAGCAAAUUAUAACAGACCAUAGAUGAUAGACCCUCAUCCAGUGCUCUCAUCAGUUUACUUCUCUAACAAGCAAGGGGGGGGGGGUACAUAACAGUUCAUUUUUCAUAAUUAUGAGGACAGAGCAGAUGAUGAUGAGAGAUGCAAGUAUAAAACACCAUUCACUAGGCAAGAUGUUAACAUAGCACAGUAUUUCUGGCAAUAAAACGCUCCAACUGACCAACUGACCAUUUCACACGAACUUUUAUCGCUGGAUAAUUUUGCGAUUUUUCAUCCAAUUCAAUCAUAUAUAUGCUCAAAAUCUUCGCGGUAAGUUUCUCUUUACCAUAAAAUUUGACCGAAUAAGUUUCGAAACAAUGCGACGGCAAAAAAUGCAAAAAUACUGAUUUUCGUAAUAGAAUCUAUAGUCUUUUUGUCCUGUUGUACCGCCAUCUUGGAUUUAUCAUGUAGGCCCCGCCUGCGCUAGGUAUGCGUUAGCAAUCUAGAUCUCCUAUAUCUAUGGUUGAGACGAAGGACAGCCUCGUCCCCAGGCUCCAGUAUGUGCGUGGGAUUUGCGCCGCUCCGCUCUGAAAGCGCACGUAUAUUCCCCCUUCUCCUGUCCACGCAUGUUUCUCCCGAGAGACCUUCACGCGCCGGGGACGACGAGGCUGGACCAGGUACAGUUCAAUAUCAAACAAAGCCUACAAGUGCCUUCUAUUUUGUAGCUUUGAAGUUUGCCCGACUUCCAGACCAUCGUAUCUUGAUACAGUAUGCCACAACAAAGUAAAACAGCGAAAAUAUUUUUCAUUGACCCAGUAAAACAAUUUGUAUCAUGUGUCCCAUAUAAAUAUAUAGUUGUAAACAAAACAGUAUUUAGAAACUGAUACUUUAGACUAAUAGCUUUCUGUUGCGCAGGGUUUUAAGUUUUCAGACUACAAUACUGCGCAAUGACAAUGUGUGAAAAUUAUUUUUCCGGU
Paramuricea clavata is the source of this 1461-nucleotide non-coding RNA. The record is from the annotation of a GenBank genome assembly. Lineage: Eukaryota; Metazoa; Cnidaria; Anthozoa; Malacalcyonacea; Plexauridae.